UAAUAAUUAAUUACAAAUUAUUAAUGAAGAAACUUAAUUUUCAAGACACUGAUUAAAAAUUUUAUAUUUAGAAAAGUUUCUUUGACACAUCAAUGUUUUGAGGUGCAAAUAGCAAUAAAUUAUCACUGAUGGAUACAAUCAGCUUGCCAUGCUAAAUUUUGUAACCGUACUGUCCGUAGUUAUUUUACGAAGCAGUAAUAAUUACAGAACAAGGUCAACUGAUCGAAACAGAAUCAUAAUGAUGGAUAUCCAUGAUACAAUGUUCUGGUGAUUAUACCCUUUCCAUCUAGAUCGAACCAGUCAAUGGUUUACGUUAAAAAAAAGAGUAGUUUGUUUUGAUAUGUUAAGCUGUAAAUAGAAUGAUUGUAUCGAGGAAUUUCGAGUGGUCCAGCGAUCAAGCGUGUAUUUUUCCAAUGCAUGUAAUCAUUUACAAACGUAAACAAAAUAAGCAUAUGGUACUUACAGAGUGUCAUCCGUUACCCCGUAGUCCUUUUUCAUUCCGAUGUUAUUGAUUUCCAUUCACAAAUCUUUAAAUCAUAAAUGACUUCUUUGAAAGUUGUAACUUCCGGUGAUGUCGUUUCGGUCAACUUGUACAAUGUACGAAGCUUGUCGUGUUUUUUUCUUCUCCCCGUUCUAAUUCGAUAUAAGAUAUAUCAUGUAUAAAAUAUAUCAUAUGUAUAUAUAUGAAGUCUUAUACACUGGGUUUCCACUGGUCGAUUGUAUAACUUUUUACUGAUCGUCUUUUGGUUACGUGUUGACCUGGGGACGAGUCAGUCAGUGUACGACCUGACGUUCACGCAAGUGAUCAAAGCGCUUUUUUUUCAAUGUUCCUUUCUGGGCGCGAAGUCAGGGAAAUAUUCGCAAGGAUGGAGAACAUUCAACAGAAUCAAUAUGCAAUCAAGCAUGGAAUGGAUUCCAGAUAGGAAUAUAGGAUUCACCUUACACUCAGAAACUGGGGGAUAGGCCUAGUUGUUCAAAAUACACGGCGUUGCUGCAUGGACUUGAAGAGAUAGUUAUGAAUUUAGAAUAUCAUCAAGUGACUUAAAAUUAAUAAGGCACUGUUUUCAGUGGAUGAACCGACAUCAUGCAGUGUGACAGGAAAACGCCCGUGAGACCAAAGAUGGCUUAGAUAAAAGGGAAGACGAUGCAGAAGCCUCUGUACCAGAGAAAAAUCCAGAGAUGGCCCUCGAAGAAGUUAGAAACAAGAUGAGAGACCGUCUCAAGUUGUUUAGGUCUGGAGCCACCUUCCCCCACCCACGAGUCGAAGAAAUAGAUCUUUGAACCAGGUUACCCGUGACAUCAAGAUAAACAAAAUUCAACUUCAGGGACAAUUUGAUAAUACCUGUUUAAAAUUUUUUUUUUAGCUCACCUGGGCCGAAGGUUCAAGUGAGCUUUUUUGAUCAAAAUUUGUUCGUUGUCUGUCGUCGGCGAAAACUUUUCACAUUUUCAUCUUCUCCAGAACCACUGGGUCAAUUUCAACCAAACUAAGUGACACAAAGCACCCUUGGGUGAAAGGCUUUCAAGUUUGUUCAAAUGAAGGGCCAUGCCCCUUCAAAGGGGAGAUAAUCGCAAAAAUACGGUGGGGUCAUUCAAAAAUCUUCUCAAGAACCACUGGGACAGAGAAGCUGAAAUUUACAUGAAAGCCUCCUGACAGUACAGAUUCAAGUUUGUUAAAACCA
Long non-coding RNA from Ostrea edulis (European flat oyster), 1679 nucleotides. RefSeq lists it as uncharacterized. The transcript is spliced from 3 exons. The record is from RefSeq and is a predicted model, not a curated record. NCBI's taxonomy places the organism in Eukaryota, Metazoa, Mollusca, Bivalvia, Ostreida, Ostreidae.